UCGGGUUUCUGAACCCUGGGCAAGCCACAUG
RNAcentral lists this non-coding RNA (31 nucleotides) under Mus musculus (house mouse). Lineage: Eukaryota; Metazoa; Chordata; Mammalia; Rodentia; Muridae. The record is from RNAcentral.